CGUUGUCUAUGUAGUUUGUUAAUUACAAGGGUUUUGUUUUGCGUAAAGUACAUCCAUUUAAAAUUUUAGUCUAAAGCAUGAGGUAGAAAUUCGACCAAAAGAAAAGAUAGAAAUAUUUAAAUAUUGAAGACUAACGAAAAACAUCGCAGAGAAAUUGGUUUAGACAUUGCGAAGAUAAUACUUAAAACUGUGCAAUGAAAACUGAACACUGCAAACAUUUUCUGUUCGCACUGAUGCUACUUACCGUCAUUUAUAUAGCAGCUUAUAUGUUCUGGAUAAACUACUACACACCAUCAAUAUUUACCGUACUCAAACACUUAACAAUCCUUCCGACGAUGACAAUGUACGAAAAGCCUAGAGAGAGCCUUCUUUCGCUUCAAGUAGCACCUCAUAACCGGAUAUUCAGUACAGGCUGGUGGAGUUCUUAUUCUCAUUGGUCAUUAAAGAAGAUGUGUUAUGAUGGAGUGUGUUAUCCGACACUAAAAGCACAAUGUUCACGAACGGGUAAUCAAAUAUUCCAGUACAUACCGAUUAAAACGAAAGCCUUGCUCAGAGGAAUUAACAUUUCAAUGGAAGUUGUUGGAAAAAAAAAAUCCUCCGCAUCUAGAAUGACUUUGUUGGUUGGAAUUAGGUUUAGUAACGGCACUUUAAAGUUGUUAAGGCGCUCGUCUGUACUUGAUUUUGUAUUGGAACCAUCACCAAUAAGAUUACUGUAUAUAUCCCCACCCGAAGUCACAAUCUGGGGAAUAAUUUUGAUGUUGGAAUGUAGAGGCAAGGUUUCAGACGCCGGUUUCAAAAAUGUCGUCGUCUUUCCUAUUUCAGGAUUACAAACGGCCAGCUCUUUGUCGCGUAGUGAUGUUGUGGACACUUGUUUUCAAGAACCAGAAAGAGCAUUGGACAUACGACCCUGCUAUCUGAAUGUGGAACCUAUCUUGGUACCACCAGAAACAUUAGCCAAUGAAUCGUCUGUAACUCUUGCAACUCAACUAACGAUGAGUAGGUUAAAACUCCUCAACCAAACAAUGGUGCCAUGGGAGGGAGCCGUCUCUAUUGCGGUGUUUCUUCCUGCAUUUGGGAAAAAAGAUGAAGCACGAGUGCUUUCUGAAAGAAAUAUGGUGUCUAAAUUUAUCGAGCAUCAUAAUCUUGAAAAACGUGGACAAGUUACUAUUGUUGUCGGAAACUGCACUUCUGAAAACUAUCCCAUCAACACCUUGAGGAAUAUUGCCAUUAGAGAGGUGAAAACAGAAUUUUUGCUUCUACUGGACGUAGACUUUCAACCUUCGGCUGACCUACAGAGCAACGCUUUGAGGACUAUACGGUCUUGGCCAACUGUUGAUAAAACAGCGUUUGUUGUACCAGGGUUCGAAUUUCGUGGGAAAUUGAAGGAAAAUAGUUUUCUCCCCCGAACAAAGUCUGAGCUUGUAAGAAGUAUAUUUCAGAAGAACCACAAGAUUCAGCCAGUCAAAUAUAAAGAAGGAAAAAGUCACACACUAACGAACUACAGUAGGUGGUAUAGAGAAGAAGAACCUUAUAUUCUAGAGUCUUUUGGUGAUAUGUACGAGCCGUACGUACUUCUCAAGAACACCCCCAGUUUACCACUAUACGACGAACGAUUUCGAGGAUAUGGAAUGGAUAAAAUAACUUAUAUAAUGGAACUAUGUGCUGUCAGGCUAUCAGUUUGUUGUCCUACCUGAUGUUUGGAUUACGCAUCUACCUCAUCCACGAAACCCACUUCUAGGCAAACUAAUGUCGGACGCUGAGUUCAAACUCAGAAACAGGAUGCAAAGAUUUGAAUUCCUACACUCCCUUAUAGCAAGAUACAAUAUCUCAAGAUGCUGAUGUUUGUCUUCGCUAAACCUGAACUUUUAUUAUCCAAUUCAUGACAGAAACAACCAUUUUGAAUCGUAGAUCGUGACCCAAAAUAGAUUUGAUAACGAAAAUCAUAUGCUGGAACUCUGGAUAAAUAGCUAAAUAAACUUUUGUACCACAUGCUCAUUAGCUUUUAUUGUUUGU
Limulus polyphemus (Atlantic horseshoe crab) is the source of this 2013-nucleotide RNA transcript. It is a transcript of the gene named LARGE xylosyl- and glucuronyltransferase 2-B-like, with no coding region annotated. Lineage: Eukaryota; Metazoa; Arthropoda; Merostomata; Xiphosura; Limulidae. The record is from RefSeq and is a predicted model, not a curated record. The transcript is spliced from 15 exons.